CCUACGGGAGGCAGCAGUGGGGAAUUUUGGACAAUGGGGGCAACCCUGAUCCAGCAAUGCCGCGUGAGUGAAGAAGGCCCUCGGGUUGUAAAGCUCUUUUGUCAGGGAAGAAACGGUGGUUCCUAAUACGAGCUGCUAAUGACGGUACCUGAAGAAUAAGCACCGGCUAACUACGUGCCAGCAGCCGCGGUAAUACGUAGGGUGCAAGCGUUAAUCGGAAUUACUGGGCGUAAAGCGUGCGCAGACGGUUAUAUAAGACAGAGGUGAAAUCCCCGGGCUCAACCUGGGAACUGCCUUUGUGACUGUAUGGCUAGAGUGUGUCAGAGGGGGGUAGAAUUCCACGUGUAGCAGUGAAAUGCGUAGAUAUGUGGAGGAAUACCGAUGGCGAAGGCAGCCCCCUGGGAUAACACUGACGCUCAUGCACGAAAGCGUGGGGAGCAAACAGGAUUAGAUACCCUGGUAGUCCACGCCCUAAACGAUGUCUACUAGUUGUCGGGACUUAAUUGUCUUGGUAACGCAGCUAACGCGUGAAGUAGACCGCCUGGGGAGUACGGUCGCAAGNUUAAAACUCAAAUGAAAUUGACGG
RNAcentral lists this ribosomal RNA (586 nucleotides) under uncultured bacterium. RNAcentral describes it as "bacterial SSU rRNA". It matches the Rfam family "Bacterial small subunit ribosomal RNA", at positions 338 to 916 of the family's 1533-position model. The record is from RNAcentral.